RNAcentral lists this non-coding RNA (117 nucleotides) under Nomascus leucogenys (northern white-cheeked gibbon). The record is from Rfam by way of RNAcentral. Lineage: Eukaryota; Metazoa; Chordata; Mammalia; Primates; Hylobatidae.
GCCGGGCGCGGUGGCUCACGCCUGUAAUCCCAGCACUUGGGAGGCUGAGGUGGGCAGAUCACUUGAGGUCAGGAAUUCUGACAGCAGCCUGGCCAAUAUGGUGAAACCCCGUCUCCA